UGUGAGCGAGUGAGGGCGUGGGCCUGAGAGCGUCCGCGGGACUGUGCGACUGUCGCUGCCCCGCCUUCCCCGCCCCCUCUCCAUUCCCCCUUCUCUGCCCCCCUUUGCCACACUCCUUAGACAGGGACGGGCGACCUAGAACGAGGUUCCCAUACCGUCUUUUGAAAAGCAAAACUUGGUCUCUGUUUUGCCUUUUGUUUUAUUGUUUUUAGCUUUAAAGAGUAAGAGCAGCGCACCCGGCUCCCUCCUGCUAAUUAGACUUCAGAUCCCUCUCUGGCCUCAGUGCUCAUUCUGGGGAAGACACCUGCUGAGAUGUCUUUUUCCCCCUCCCUCAACCAAACCACUUAGGUCCUGCCUGCUCUUUCCCGGCUGGAUGCGAGCGUGUUUUCCUGUAUGUAUUUUUUCAUGCGGCCACAAACAGCAUCAGCUGGGGUUCCCGAAGGUCAGAAAAUGGCUAUUGAUUAAUCUAUUAGAAUAGUUGCCGAGAGAAAUAAAAACGACGUAAAAUAACAGGGACCCUAUAAAUAAAGAAGCCAUAACUGGCUACUUGGAGUUGUUGAACGACUUAGCAUAUGAAAAAAUCGGAAAUGAGGCGCUGGGGAAGGAGCCGGCAUUGGCAGCGGCCCGGGUGUAGACAAAUCCUCCCAAGAUUUAACUUCCAAGGAAACCAGCGGCGGAGCGGUUGGAGGAGGCGAGGAUGUGUGGCCAGCGCACGCGGAGUGCAAGGCAAGUCAGUGAUGGUAGGAAAAACUGUGGGGAUUUCACUGGGACUGGAGGGGGAGCCACCGCAAACCGACCCCCAAGUGCGUGGCUGGGAUGCGUGGACCUCACACCUCCAAGGAAAGUCGGUGCUCUUGACCCGGUGAAUCGCGAUGCGCUGCCUCUUUCCUUCCGCAUUUAGGCCACCUAGUUGGGAGCCGCAAGAGCCUGUGCCUAGUGUGGCAGGCACACGUAACCCAAUCCCUAUCUGUACGCUGCGGCCUGGGAGGGGAGCGCCGGCCUCACCAGAGGAAGGAGCACGAGGGGAGGAGUUCCGAGAGGAAAUAAUUAGUGAAAUAUUUGCAGAAGAUGCUGGGAUGUGGAUUUAAUUCCGGAUGGACAGUGGUGCUUCCGAUUCCCUCAGUCUGUUUCCCCAUCCACGAUCUCCUCUUUCCUUGGCCUAGACACACUAAAAAUAAUUCAAUAAAAUAAAAAGUUUAAAAUCUGUAAACCUGCUUCAUUACAGGCAUUGAGACACACAGAUUGACUUUCAUCUUCAUUAGACAGUUUCCCCGGAUAGAAUACUAACUCACUCGAGGCUGGGAGCAGGGUGGGGUGUGGUGACUCUAUCCUGAGACGCCCGCUAACCUCCACGGUUUUUCUUUAUCUAAAUGAUCCCAAGGUUGCACCGGCCCUAAAACGCAUCUCAGAGUUGAUUUCUGUAGCUUCACAGCUUUGUGGCCCGCAGGCUUCGAACCGUUUACCGUGCCGUCUAGACAGCCUUCCGCGAAACCGACCCGGGCUGAGCUGGCUGGCCACCGCCCGGAACUGCAGAGUUCGCGGUUGCAACUGCCUCAGCAACCGAAGGAGGGUCGGAAGGUCCAAAAAAAAAAAAAAAAAGAAAAUCCUGAAAUUUACACAUUCAGGAACUUCCUGUGCUCUGCUUGGGUUGCCCAGCCCUAGAGGCAGGGGCGCGGGGCGCAGCGCUGGCCCUGCCGCGGCCUUGGUGGCUUGGCCCGCGUGGACAAGUAAGUGUGG
Molecule: long non-coding RNA, 1737 nt
Organism: Cercocebus atys (sooty mangabey)
Lineage: Eukaryota; Metazoa; Chordata; Mammalia; Primates; Cercopithecidae
Source: Ensembl